GGAGACUCAUUGAUCCACCUGGACUGUCCUCAAAGGUUAAAAAGACUAUGCACUCAUCAUCAGCACCAGGGAACUUCGCACAUCUUUUCCGGUCUCACGGCUAAACUAUUCACAGGUGGUUGGCAUAAUAACAUCUCUCCGUGCAAGAAAACCAAAGGGAACGGGAUGGAUGCAGUGACGGGAGCAAGCUGGCAGUUCGUUUGAGGGAGCAGCGGGGCUCCACCACCCGUCCGGUGCAAAGCCUGCAAAAACUGAACAUGAGAAAGAUUCACAACUCAUUCUCAACGUUGCCAUCCAAAGUCUUCGACCUCACGAAGAAGGGCAGAUCCCUUUGCACACAAAAAGAAAAGCACAAAUAGCACUGAAAUUCCUAGAAACAAGGUUCCCUCUUGUAUUUGUUGCUUUUGUUUGCUUUGUUUUAAGGUUGUGAGCAGAUGGCUUGGCUACAUCAGUAACAAAAGACAUCAGAGCUGACUAGGAAAAAGAGCUGGGGAGGCAAGAGGGGAGGGAGGCUGAGCUAACAGCCCCCACGCUAUGUCUCUCUAGGGCACUAUUCCUGCAAAUAUAGUCUCCUUCCCACCCGCACCGAGCCACCUGGAGGAGAGGCUGUAAACAGAGAGCUUUCUGGACUGCAUCCCAGAGAGAACAUCUGGACCACGAAUCUUGUUCCACUUGCGCUUUGAACCAAGAUCCUCAAAUGAUUUCUUAUGGAUAAACAUGACCUGUGAAAUGAGAGGGAAGCUACCCUUUGGGAAGCAAAAUGACCAGAAUCCAGACCCGAGGGACAGGAAGGAAAUCUUGUUAGCGUUGGAAGCUAGAGUCUGAGCAACACGAGGAGCCAGAGGAGCCAGAGGAGUAAGUGGAGCCCCUGGGAGGGAACCUGAGACUUCCCUCUGAGAAGCUCCCACAACCCCAGUGCCAUCUUGAGCCGGUGGUUGUAGCUGCAAGCA
Long non-coding RNA from Psammomys obesus (fat sand rat), 950 nucleotides. RefSeq lists it as uncharacterized. Lineage: Eukaryota; Metazoa; Chordata; Mammalia; Rodentia; Muridae. The record is from RefSeq and is a predicted model, not a curated record. The transcript has 3 exons.